UACGGAGGGGGCAAGCGUUGUUCGGAUUUACUGGGCGUAAAGGGCGCGUAGGCGGCGUGACAAGUCACUUGUGAAAUCUCCGGGCUUAACUCGGAACUGCCAAGUGAUACUGUCGUGCUAGAGUGCAGAAGGGGCAAUCGGAAUUCUUGGUGUAGCGGUGAAAUGCGUAGAGUAUCAAGAGGAACACCAGAGGCGAAGGCGGAUUGCUGGGCUGACACUGACGCUGAGGCGCGAAAGCUAGGGUAGCAAACGGG
This 254-nucleotide ribosomal RNA is filed under the name uncultured bacterium. Its description in RNAcentral is "partial 16S ribosomal RNA". It matches the Rfam family "Bacterial small subunit ribosomal RNA", at positions 524 to 776 of the family's 1533-position model. The record is from RNAcentral.